AACUCAAGUUAAUAGGGCACGGCGUAAAGAGUGUUUAAGAACAUACUUCAAAUAAAGCUAACCUAUAACUAAAUUGUAAAAAAUCCUGGUUACAGUAAAAUACUCUACGAAAGUGGCUUUAAUACACUGAAUACACCAUAGCUAAGGCACAAACUGGGAUUAGAUACCCCACUAUGCUUAGCCCUAAACCUCAAUAACCUAUAUAACAAGAUUAUUCGCCAGAACACUACAAGCAACAGCUUGAAACUCAAAGGACCUGGCGGUGCUUUACAUCCGUCUAGAGGAGCCUGUUCUAUAAUCGAUACACCCCGAUAAACCUCACCACUUCUUGCCCU
This 335-nucleotide ribosomal RNA is filed under the name Ateles paniscus (red-faced black spider monkey). RNAcentral's name for it is "partial 12S ribosomal RNA". It matches the Rfam family "Bacterial small subunit ribosomal RNA", at positions 533 to 987 of the family's 1533-position model. Lineage: Eukaryota; Metazoa; Chordata; Mammalia; Primates; Atelidae. The record is from RNAcentral.